This 705-nucleotide ribosomal RNA is filed under the name uncultured bacterium. Its description in RNAcentral is "bacterial SSU rRNA". It matches the Rfam family "Bacterial small subunit ribosomal RNA", at positions 770 to 1487 of the family's 1533-position model. The record is from RNAcentral.
AACAGGGAUUAGAUACCCCGGUAGUCCACGCCCUAAACGAUGUCAAAUAGAUGUGGGGGUCUUUGGACCUGGUAGAGCACAUAACGCGUGAAAUUUACCCCCCGGGGAGUACGGUCUCAAGAUUUAAACUCAAAGGAAUUGACGGGGACCCGCACACGCGGUGGAUGAUGUGGAUUAUUUGAUGCAACGCGAAAAACCUUACCUACCCCUGACAUGUGUGGAAUCCUGAAGAGAUUUGGGAGUGCUCGCAAGAGAACUGGAACACAGGUGCUGCAUGGCUGUCGUCAGCUCGUGUCGUGAGAUGUUGGGUUAAGUCCCGCAACGAGCGCAACCCUUGUCAUUAGUUGCUACGAAAGGGCACUCUAAUGAGACUGCCGGUGACAAACCGGAGGAAGGUGGGGAUGACGUCAAGUCCUCAUGGCCCUUAUGGGUAGGGCUUCACACGCAUACAAUGGUCGGGACAGAGGGUCGCCAACCGCGAGGGGGAGCCAAUCCCAGAAACCCGAUCGUAGUCCGGAUCGCAGUCGCAACUCGACUGCGUGAAGUCGGAAUCGCUAGUAACGCGGAUCAGCAUGUCGCGGUGAAUACGUUCCCGGGUCUUGUACACACCGCCCGUCACACCAUGGGAGUGGGUUUUACCAGAAGUAGUUAGCCUAACCGUAAGGAGGGCGAUACCACGGUAGGAUUCAUGACUGGGGUGAAGUC